CGAAAGGUGGCUGAGUUUUAGGCAUUAGAUUGUAAAUCUAAACACGAGUUAUCCUCCCUUUUGA
This 64-nucleotide transfer RNA is filed under the name Striatobalanus amaryllis. RNAcentral's name for it is "tRNA-Tyr". It matches the Rfam family "tRNA". Rfam says of the family: Transfer RNA (tRNA) molecules are approximately 80 nucleotides in length. Their secondary structure includes four short double-helical elements and three loops (D, anti-codon, and T loops). The record is from RNAcentral. Lineage: Eukaryota; Metazoa; Arthropoda; Thecostraca; Balanomorpha; Balanidae.